Molecule: unclassified non-coding RNA, 257 nt
Filed under: Hevea brasiliensis (rubber tree)
Lineage: Eukaryota; Viridiplantae; Streptophyta; Magnoliopsida; Malpighiales; Euphorbiaceae
Source: RNAcentral
AGGAAGUAGAGAGAGAAAGCUUUGUGUGUAGAGAGAGAGAAAAGAGUGUUCACCCAAGGCCGAAAACGGUUUUGCUACCUCCAAAUUUCCCUUUGUUCUCUUUCUCGAAUCCUCAUCAUCACCAUUAGAGAGAAACAAGGGAUACCGCUGUGAGAAUCUCGUGUUCCAAGCAAUAUGUCGUUAUUCAUACUUGUAAUUUAGUUGAUUUUUGAAUCCAGCAUUUUCUAUGAAGUUAAAGCGAUCUCAACGGAUGACGG